UCCUGAGAAACCUUAAGGUGCGUGGCUGG
RNAcentral lists this non-coding RNA (29 nucleotides) under Rattus norvegicus (Norway rat). The record is from RNAcentral. Lineage: Eukaryota; Metazoa; Chordata; Mammalia; Rodentia; Muridae.